UCUAACAACUCAAGCAGAAUUCGUUAGCUUGUUCUAUUGAUAUAUAUAUAUAUAUACUUAAUCAUCAUAAUAGAAGACCAUACCUACAGCUCCGACAAAGGAUGACGGUGUGUAAUCAAACGGCACGUGUCUCUCAAAAGCUGAGCUCGUUAAGUGCACACAGAGAUAGAAGCAAGAAAGAAUGUAUUUUUUCUUUUUAUAUAUGACUACUCUUUGUAUAACAAUCACUUAGACCUGUAUUUUUGAUAUUGUAGAUCACAGAGGAGAGGACAGGCUGUAGUCCCCAGGAGAGCGACGAAGAGCCACGGGAAGAAGGAGCUAUCUCAUAAGAAGUUUGGUCAUGCGUCAAGGAACAAUCCAUGUCUGCGUCCAGGAGUGAAGGUCAACGCUAUGCUUGUGAAGAAACUGAAUGUCAGGAAAAUGACAAUUGCUGGCUGGAAAUAGAAGCCAUUAAGUCUGCUAUGUUCACGGGUCGUAUAAGUAGAAUGUCAUCAAGCCGAUUGACCAUCUCUGACAGAUCAGAAUGAUGACCUUAGGUGUACUAUAGGACUCGAGUUUGUGAAAAUGAAGGACAUUGUUAUUGAACUUGCUCGUUUACUAACUUAACCUUCUGGAAAUAAUGUCCCUAAAGAUGCUAACUUUAAAAAGAAAAAAAAAACUAAUUACGAAUUCAAGGUACACGAAACCUUACAAUUGAACCCGAAGAUCAAUGAACACUACCAACUUAAUCUCCUAGAAAUAUUUUUAUUACAGACUUAUUCCACUGAAAGAUAUCUCGUAUAAGAAGCCAGGUGACGUCACCAACAUUGAUUUUAUUGUAAUAGUGAUUUUGCAAAUCCUAGUUUAUCAAACUAGAAACCUUCGUCAAAUUAAAUGUUUGAGAACUUCGAGAUUGUAAUAUCCACGUGUUAUAAAUUUAAAAAACGUCACAAUGUAAGCUCCUGAAUUGACAGAAGGCACUUCAGUUGAGCUUACAGACACGCACGUGCUGUACACUUCACCAAUAAGAAUUCCUGGUUUGGUAAUACCUUUGAAAUAAAGAAUUUCAUAAGCA
Long non-coding RNA from Limulus polyphemus (Atlantic horseshoe crab), 1054 nucleotides. RefSeq lists it as uncharacterized. The transcript is spliced from 2 exons. NCBI's taxonomy places the organism in Eukaryota, Metazoa, Arthropoda, Merostomata, Xiphosura, Limulidae. The record is from RefSeq and is a predicted model, not a curated record.